UUCAUGUCCUUUGGGCCUAGUCCGGACACGCUGCUGCUGCCGCCAUAUUCCUGUGGCAUCUUUCUUACUUUGGCCCAUUUUGUGGGCUUGAGAUCUCCUUUUGGAGCCAUGUCAGAAGGAGUGGACUUGAUUGAUAUAUACACUGACGAAGAGUUCAACCAGGAACCCAACCCAGAGUUCAACAAUACAGAUCAGAUUGAUCUGUAUGAUGAUGUGUUGAUGGCCACCUCAAGCCCUCAGAUGACAGAAGCAGCAGCACUGAGCCACCUCCUCCUGUUCACCAGGAGCCAUAUCCCAAGCCCAACAACAAGACCCCUGCAAUUUUGUAUACCUACAGUGGCCUGCAUAAUAGUUGAGCUGCCGUCUAUCUGGACAGUUUCUCAUGGUGGACCACAGACCAGCAGCUGAUCCAGGUUAUUCGCUCUAUAGGAGUCUAUGAUGUGGUGGAGUUGAAAUUUGCAGAGAAUCGAGCAAAUGGCCAGUCCAAAGGGUAUGCUGAGGUGGUGGUAGCCUCUGAAAACUCUGUCCACAGAUUGUUGGAACUUCUACCAGGAAAAGUUCUUAAUGGAGAAAAAGUGGAUGUGAGGCCAGCCACCCGACAGAACCUAUCACAGUUUGAGGCAUAGGCUCGGAAACGAAUACCUCCACGGGUCUACUCCCAAGAUUCUAAUGAUUCUGCUGAUGGACCGGCCACACCCUCUGAGAACCUUGUACCCUCAUCUGCUCGUGUGGAUAAGCCCCACAGUGUGCUGCUCUACUUCAAUUGCCCUCCUUCAGCCCUUCCCCUAAUGGGUCUGCCCCCAUUACCUCUCCUCAAGCUUUGGGGUCCCACCUCCUCAUCCUGGUAUCCACUACCAGCAUCUCAUGCCCCCAGCUCCUCGAUUACCUCCUCAUCUUGCCUUACCUCCUCCUGGGGCCAUCCCACCUGCCCUUCACCUCAAUCCAGCCUUCUUCCCCCCACCAAAUUCUACCAUGGGGCCUCCAUCAGAUACUUACAUGAAGGCCUCAGCACCCUAUAACCACCAUGGCAGCCAAGAUUCAGGCCCUCCACCCUCUAUAGUGAGUGAAGCUGAAUUUGAAGAGAUCAUGAAACGAAACAGAGCAAUUUCUAGCAGUUGCAUUUCCAAAGCUGUAUCUAGAGCGAGUGCAGGGGAUUAUAGUGAUGCAAUUGCAACGCUGCUCACAGCCACUGCAGUUAUCAAACAGUCCCGGGUCACCAAGGAUGAGCGUUGCCAUGUCCUCAUCUCCUCACUUAAGGACCGUCUUCGUGGCAUUGAAGCCAAGUUCUACAGCGUAGGUGCCAGCAGGAGCUAUUCCAGAAAAAGACAUUGAUCCGGGGAGAGGACACCUAGCCAGUCUGGGGAAAGCAGCAGGAGAUCUGCUUCAUAAUGAAGAUUGGCAUGAUGAUUAUUUCCAAGAGAGGAACCGGGAGCACGAGAGACACCGGAAUAGAGAACGGGACAGGCACCACGAGAAAGGAGUCUGGUUGGAUGCAAAUGUUUUUUUAAUGGACUUGCAUCUCCUCACCUUGAUCAGGACUAAAGGACAGAGGCCACUCCACCCCUUCCCCUUCCUCCAAUCCCCUAACUCCCUCCAGACACCCAGGGAAUACCCUCUGCCCUACAGGAUUGAAGACUACUUGGCAGCCCUCCUAAUCCCAUACCUCCUGUCUGCCAGAAGAAAGAAUCUAAAGACUUCAUGUGGUCGGGAGGGGUGGCAGACAAGGAAAAACCAACACAUAUCCAGGCCCCUGAUCUCCAUAGAGAAUGGUGCUUUGUCCAAGGAAAUGUGUGAGUUUCUGAUUCUCCAGGAGCAAUUCAGUGGUGAGGUUGAUGGGAAGACUUCUUCCUUCCCAAAGAAAAUGAAUCUUUCAUGUCUGAUCUAGGAGUGACUUGGUGUGCCAAAUAUGCCCAGGGUCCUGCCCUUAGCACUAGAUCUGACGGGGCCAAGAGGGUCCCAACCCCUUGCUAACAUACCACUUCUUUGUUUAACUCCUUUACCUUCCAAGCCCUUUGAGGAGGGACCAUAAGAACAGAAAUUAACCUUAUGAAAAGCUAGUUCUGUUCUUGCUUUUCCUUCUCAUAUAUUGAUGGUUCAUUUCCCUGACCUCCCAGAGAGCUGAACCUUUCUUUUCUCUGCUGCCUAGCCUUCUCAGUGGACUUGUCCCUCCUAAGCAGAGAAGGCCUAAUGAGGUUGCUUUCUGCUGGGAAGCCUGGUAGAGCCAAUUACCACCCUCUGCUGUUUAGUGCUUGGUUGCCUCUUGCAAUAACCAGCCAGCUCUUAGCCAUUCCCUUUCCCUGGGGCUUUCCCAUUUAACACAUGGAGCCCUUCCCUCAAGAAGGCUGCUUCCUUGUUUUAGAGGAAGGUAUUGCCAUUGGGAGAUGGGGACAUUGGGACCUCAGCAAUGAAGAACCCUUGUGAAGUACCAGGAGUAGUGGGGAAGGAGGCAAGUUUGGCAGGGUAUGGCCUACUUCCAUAGGUUUUUCUUUUUUCAGGUUUGAUGUAAGCAUGGGCUUGCAUCCCCGAGGUACACACUUUUACAUAUUGUAAGAUAGCCUGGCACUAGUAGGCUAUCUUUUCACCUUUUGACUAUUGACUUAAUAGCUCCUCUUGCUCUGCUUGGAGGUACUUCCUGCCUCUGAUUAAGGAGCAGGAAGAAAUGGA
This is an RNA transcript of Nycticebus coucang (slow loris), 2664 nucleotides long. It is a transcript of the gene named cleavage and polyadenylation specificity factor subunit 7-like, with no coding region annotated. The record is from RefSeq and is a predicted model, not a curated record. The transcript has a single exon. Lineage: Eukaryota; Metazoa; Chordata; Mammalia; Primates; Lorisidae.